RNAcentral lists this ribosomal RNA (135 nucleotides) under uncultured Alphaproteobacteria bacterium. RNAcentral's name for it is "partial 16S ribosomal RNA". It matches the Rfam family "Bacterial small subunit ribosomal RNA", at positions 355 to 507 of the family's 1533-position model. The record is from RNAcentral. Lineage: Bacteria; Pseudomonadati; Pseudomonadota; Alphaproteobacteria.
UGGGGAAUCUUGGACAAUGGGCGCAAGCCUGAUCCAGCCAUGCCGCGUGGAUGAUGAAGGCCUUAGGGUUGUAAAAUCCUUUCAACGGGGACGAUAAUGACGGUACCCGUAGAAGAAGCCCCGGCUAACUUCGUG